GAUGAACGCUGGCGGCGUGCCUAAUACAUGGAAGUCGAGCGAACAGACGAGGAGCUUGCUCCUCUGACGUUAGCGGCGGACGGGUGAGUAACACGUGGAUAACCUACCUAUAAGACUGGGAUAACUUCGGGAAACCGGAGCUAAUACCGGAUAACAUGUUGAACCGCAUGGUUCAACAGUGAAAGACGGUCUUGCUGUCACUUAUAGAUGGAUCCGCGCCGCAUUAGCUAGUUGGUAAGGUAACGGCUUACCAAGGCAACGAUGCGUAGCCGACCUGAGAGGGUGAUCGGCCACACUGGAACUGAGACACGGUCCAGACUCCUACGGGAGGCAGCAGUAGGGAAUCUUCCGCAAUGGGCGAAAGCCUGACGGAGCAACGCCGCGUGAGUGAAGAAGGUCUUCGGAUCGUAAAACUCUGUUAUUAGGGAAGAACAAAUGUGUAAGUAACUAUGCACGUCUUGACGGUACCUAAUCAGAAAGCCACGGCUAACUACGUG
Molecule: ribosomal RNA, 497 nt
Filed under: uncultured bacterium
Lineage: Bacteria
Description: partial 16S ribosomal RNA
Rfam family: Bacterial small subunit ribosomal RNA
Source: RNAcentral